CCGGAGGCUACCGCUAUUGGAGUUCGAUUAAGCCAUGCGAGUCGAGAGUCUUAGGGACUCGGCGUACCGCUCAGUAACACGUGGGUAACCUGCCCUAUGCUGGGGAAUAACCUCGGGAAACUGAGAAUAAUGCCCCAUAGUCCACUACGCCUGGAACGGUGAGUGGAUCAAAGCUCCGGCGGCAUAGGAUGGGCCUGCGCCGUAUCAGGUUGUAGGGGGUGUAAAGUACCCUCUAGCCAUCAACGCGUACGGGUGUUGGGAGACAUUGCCCGGAGAUGGAUUCUGAGACACGAAUCCAGACCCUACGGGGUGCAGCAGGCGCGAAAACUUGGCAAUGCGAGCAAUCGUGACCAGGGAACUCCAAGUGCAUCGGGUAAGACCGGUGCUUUUCUUGACUCUAAAUAGGUCUUGGAAUAAGGGGUGGGUAAGGACGGUGCCAGCCGCCGCGGUAAUACCGGCGCCUCAAGUGGUAGUCGCUUUUAUUGGGCCUAAAACGUCCGUAGCCGGUCUGAUACAUUCGUGGGUAAAUCAACCAGCUCAACUGGUUGAAUUCUGCGAGGACGGUCAGACUUGGGACCGGGAGAGGUGUGGGGUACGCUCAGGGUAGGGGUAAAAUCCUGUCAUCCUGAGCGGACCACCUGUUGCGAAGGCGCCGCACUAGAACGGAUCCGACGGUCAGGGACGAAGCCUAGGGGCACGAACCGGAUUAGAUACCCGGGUAGUCCUAGGUGUAAACGCUGUGGACUUGAUGUUGGGGGUGCUCCGAGCACUCUCAGUGUCGAAGCGAAGGUGAUAAGUCCACUGCCUGGGAAGUACGGUCGCAAGGCUGAAACUUAAAGGAAUUGGCGGGGGAGCACCGCAACCUGAGGAUUGUGCGGUUUAAUUGGAUUCAACGCCGGG
This 900-nucleotide ribosomal RNA is filed under the name uncultured archaeon. RNAcentral describes it as "bacterial SSU rRNA". It matches the Rfam family "Archaeal small subunit ribosomal RNA", at positions 17 to 922 of the family's 1478-position model. The record is from RNAcentral.